GUCAAAGACAAAGUUUGGUGGACACACGUACUUGAAGAAAUGGUACCGCCCUAAUCUACGCAGUGCAGGCAGCACCUCAGGGGGGAAAAGACCCAAGACGGCUCCGAUCACCGCAAAGGAGAAGUGGAAAACUCAGAAGGAUAGCGACAAGAACGAGAGGGCAGUCCAGGCAGCGAGUCACAGCACCAUGGUGGUCAACCAGGAGGACGUUGAUCACAUGAUCACUGUGCAGCAUCUCCUGUCUGGAGAGGACCGUGCUGACUCUUUGGGCUCCUUGUUGGACUUUGACGAGAACUUCUGGAAAAGUCUUCGAGGAUCGCCAUCAAAGCAGGAAGCCAACCCUUCCUUGGAGUUCUUGUCCAUCAUUACCCCCUCUGCUGCCGCUCUU
Long non-coding RNA from Aplysia californica (California sea hare), 388 nucleotides. RefSeq lists it as uncharacterized. The record is from RefSeq and is a predicted model, not a curated record. Lineage: Eukaryota; Metazoa; Mollusca; Gastropoda; Aplysiida; Aplysiidae. The transcript is spliced from 4 exons.